GCAAGGUUCCCUUCGGGGACCGGGACACAGGUGCUGCAUGGCUGUCGUCAGCUCGUGUCGUGAGAUGUUGGGUUAAGUCCCGCAACGAGCGCAACCCUCGCCCUUAGUUGCCAGCAUUCAGUUGGGCACUCUAAGGGGACUGCCGGUGAUAAGCCGAGAGGAAGGUGGGGAUGACGUCAAGUCCUCAUGGCCCUUACGGGCUGGGCUACACACGUGCUACAAUGGUGGUGACAGUGGGCAGCGAGCACGCGAGUGUGAGCUAAUCUCCAAAAGCCAUCUCAGUUCGGAUUGCACUCUGCAACUCGAGUGCAUGAAGUUGGAAUCGCUAGUAAUCGCGGAUCAG
Molecule: ribosomal RNA, 343 nt
Filed under: Rhizobium sp. VC12
Lineage: Bacteria; Pseudomonadati; Pseudomonadota; Alphaproteobacteria; Hyphomicrobiales; Rhizobiaceae
Description: bacterial SSU rRNA
Rfam family: Bacterial small subunit ribosomal RNA
Source: RNAcentral